This 202-nucleotide long non-coding RNA is filed under the name Vigna radiata. RNAcentral's name for it is "long non-coding RNA (VRAD_LNC012854)". The record is from RNAcentral. Lineage: Eukaryota; Viridiplantae; Streptophyta; Magnoliopsida; Fabales; Fabaceae.
GGGAGGCUAGAGAUAGCAAGCCCGUAAUUAGUAAUAGGCUCUAUUCACCAAGGAAUUGGGUUAAGGGUAGACCAAGAAAGUUUGCAUGGCAAUAUGAUAAAUAAGCGAAUUAAAUAAGAAGAGUAGAUAUAUGAGAGUGAUUGGGUGAAAUCUGAACCCUAGCAACAAAUCCAUCUCAUAUUAUCAACAUCAUCCAUCCNNN